Molecule: transfer RNA, 73 nt
Filed under: Sphaerodactylus townsendi
Lineage: Eukaryota; Metazoa; Chordata; Lepidosauria; Squamata; Sphaerodactylidae
Description: tRNA-Ala
Source: RNAcentral
GGUCAUCAUGGCUCAGUGGCAGAACACCUGCUUUGCAUUCAGAAGGUCCCAGGUUCAAUCCCUGGCAUGUCUG